UACCAGCACCCCGAGUGGUCGGGACGUUUAUUGGGCCUAAAGCAUCCGUAGCCGGUUCUACAAGUCUUCCGUUAAAUCCAACUGAUUAACAGGUGGGCUGCGGAAGAUACUAUAGAGCUAGGAGGCGGGAGAGGCAAGCGGUACUCGAUGGGUAGGGGUAAAAUCCGUUGAUCCAUUGAAGACCACCAGUGGCGAAGGCGGCUUGCCAGAACGCGCUCGACGGUGAGGGAUGAAAGCUGGGGGAGCAAACCGG
Molecule: ribosomal RNA, 253 nt
Filed under: uncultured bacterium
Lineage: Bacteria
Description: partial 16S ribosomal RNA
Rfam family: Archaeal small subunit ribosomal RNA
Source: RNAcentral